Ictalurus punctatus (channel catfish) is the source of this 90-nucleotide small nucleolar RNA. Ensembl annotates it as Small nucleolar SNORD12/SNORD106. Lineage: Eukaryota; Metazoa; Chordata; Actinopteri; Siluriformes; Ictaluridae. The record is from Ensembl.
AAACAUGGCUCUGAUGACUAAACUUUUUUCCCCAGCAGAUCGACUCUGUUGACUUAUUUUAUUUUAAGCCAAACUGUCUGAGCCAUGAUC